AUUGAACGCUGGCGGCAGGCUUAACACAUGCAAGUCGAGCGAGCGGAGGACGGGUGAGUAAUGUCUGGGAAACUGCCUGAUGGAGGGGGAUAACUACUGGAAACGGUAGCUAAUACCGCAUACAAUCAGAUGUGCCCAGAUGGGAUUAGCUAGUAGGUGGGGUAAUGGCUCACCUAGGCGACGAUCCCUCGCUGGUCUGAGAGGAUGACCAGCCACAAUGGAACUAGUACUCGGUUCAGACUCCUAAGGGAGGCAGUAGUGGGGAAUAUUGCACAAUGGGCGCAAGCCUGAUGCAGCCAUGCCGCGUGUGUGAAGAAGGCCUUCGGGUUGUAAAGCACUUUCAGCGAGGAGGCGUUACUCGCAGAAGAAGCACCGGCUAACUCCGUGCCAGCAGCCGCGGUAAUUC
This 406-nucleotide ribosomal RNA is filed under the name uncultured bacterium. RNAcentral's name for it is "partial 16S ribosomal RNA". It matches the Rfam family "Bacterial small subunit ribosomal RNA", at positions 30 to 526 of the family's 1533-position model. The record is from RNAcentral.